RNAcentral lists this signal recognition particle RNA (148 nucleotides) under Macaca mulatta (Rhesus monkey). RNAcentral describes it as "Metazoan signal recognition particle RNA (ENSMMUG00000060061.1)". It matches the Rfam family "Metazoan signal recognition particle RNA". From Rfam's summary of the family: The signal recognition particle (SRP) is a universally conserved ribonucleoprotein. It is involved in the co-translational targeting of proteins to membranes. Lineage: Eukaryota; Metazoa; Chordata; Mammalia; Primates; Cercopithecidae. The record is from Rfam by way of RNAcentral.
GCCGGGCAUGGUGGCGCAUGCCUGUAAUCCCAGCUACUUGGGAGGCUGAGGCAGGAGAAUCGCUCGAACUCGGGAGGCAGAGGUUGCAGUGAGCUGAGAUCGUGCCACUGCACUCAAGCCUGGGUGACAGAGCGAGACUCUGUCUCAA